GGGGAUUUAGCUCAGUGGUAGAGCGUUUGCCUAGUAAUCACAAGGCCCUGGGUUCGGUCCCCAGCUCA
RNAcentral lists this transfer RNA (68 nucleotides) under Rattus norvegicus (Norway rat). It matches the Rfam family "tRNA". From Rfam's summary of the family: Transfer RNA (tRNA) molecules are approximately 80 nucleotides in length. Their secondary structure includes four short double-helical elements and three loops (D, anti-codon, and T loops). Lineage: Eukaryota; Metazoa; Chordata; Mammalia; Rodentia; Muridae. The record is from Rfam by way of RNAcentral.